AAAAUGUCUAUGGUACCUAUAGAUUGUAGCCUGUCUGAUUGAUAGGUGAUAUCUGUCAAUUUUUCAAUCUUCCAUUCAUAUUUAAUCGUUCUUUCAGUCCAAGAAAAUUGUGAUGAGUAUUUUUGAUUUUAGGAUUUUUAUAAACUAAUUAUUAUUGUAUGAAUACAGUAUAAUGAAUAAGCUAAUAUAAAGACAAAUCGGACUUUCUAUUUCAUUGUGAGCGAUUAUCGUUGUCAAGAUGGCCCGGAUGACCCGCGUAGACGAUCCGCGGAAUGUUGAUUCAGAGAUGGAAGAAGGAGAAAUAGUGGACGAUUUAGAUUACCUUUCAGAUAUAUCUUCGGAAGAAGAGUUUUUGCUACGUCAAAGGUUACAAGUGCUAGAGAAUUAUAACAAUGUCCUUGAGCGAAAAAAGGCGAAACGGUCACUGGAACCAGGUACCAAGCAAAAGAAAGCAAAUGCAUUCCUGCCAGAUCUGUCGGAAAUUUCUGCAACAGAAUUGGAAGAAAAUUACAAUUUAUCCUAUAGUGUUACUAAAUCUUACAAACAUGUCAAAACACAUCAUAAGCAAAGGCGGAAAAAAGAUCAUGUUGCAAGAGCUCUUGCAAAAGGACAUAACAUAAUCAAAGAUGGGAAAAAGAAAACUCAUAGGAACAGAAAGAAGAUUGCAGAUUCAUCUGAUUCCAGUGAUGAGACUGGUAGUGAGUACAGGAAUAAAAGAAGAAAACUGGCAAAUGCAGUUAUUGUGAAUAAAGAGAAAGUCGAUAAAACAUCUUUAAGUGCUAGAUUAAAAACCAUGCUUGGUUCAACACAAGACUCUAUACAUGAAAAAAGUGCCAUUACACAGAAAAAAGAGGCUGAAACAGAAAAUAAUGUUAUUCAAGAAAACAAUAAUGUUAUUGAUUCAAUUUUGUCUCCAGUUUCAUCUAAAAAUGAUGAAGAGUUCUUAGUUCCUGCAGAAGUUAAAGAUAAAUUAUGUGAUAAAAAUAUUGAAAGCAUAUCCAACAACUGCGAAUUAAUAGACCUAUGUAGUGAUGACGAUAAGAUAGCUCAUAAUAAAGAUUGUUUUAAUUCUAUAGUUUGUUCAAAUAAUCAAGGAAUUGAUGAAAAGCUGGAAGAUGAAAAUAUAAAUGCAAGUAAUACAGUUACUAAAAAAACUCUCGGAAAACGAAAUAGUACUUCAGAAAAAGAUUCUGAUGAUGACUUGGAACUACUCAGACAAAAUGCUCUACAAACUAAACCUUUAAAAGCUAAAACAGCGAUUGAAACUGAAAAUAAAACAUUAUCAGAAGAUGAAGACAGUGAUACAGCAGAGCUGAGGUUAAUUUGUUUAAAGUCAGCACUGCUUAAGAAAGCUAUUGAAAUGAAACAAAAAAAAAGAUUGCAGAAAAAGCUUUCACAGUCCAAUCUACAGGAUGAUUUUUUAAAUGAACAACAUAUGUUUCCAAGUAAAAUUAAUUCUGAUAAUAAUACUGAUAUUGAAUCCGUUGAUAUGGAUAUUGGUUCAGACGGAGAUGACAAGAAUAAAGAGACUGAAAAAAAUGGUAUUAAAAAUAGUGAUAUUGAACAAAAUUCUAAUCAGGAAAACAACGAAAACAACAUUAAAGAUAAUCCAAAAAUUAACUUACCCAAAGAAGACGAUUUUGAUGAGGACGAAGACUUAUUACGAGCGAAAUUACUUACAUCACUUAGUAAAAAUCUACCUAAUCUUGUCAAUUCCUCUAUACUAGAUGCUAUUCCAAAUUUCACUCCAGAAAAAACUGCACCAAUAAUUAAUCGUGUUAUAAAAAAAGUACCUGAAGAAAAAAGGUUUAUAAUUAAGCUUGGUGAAUCAGAUUCGGAAGGUGAACAUGAGGCUACAAAAAAUUUAACCAAAAUGCACAUGAAAUUAUCAGAAAAUUUAGAUUUCCAACAAAAAUUAGAUAGCUUUCUUAAAACAACUCGUAUGCAAGUGGAGAAAUCUAGUCUCCCAGAUGUUAUACAAGAAAACACAGCCCCAAAGAAAACUGAAAAAUAUGUUGCUAAGGCUGUAAAGCAUCUACCAAAGCCUGAACAGAUUGAAUAUAAAAAUUUGGUGAGGAGAAUGGCCGAGUUGGAAAAGAUAAAGCAAACUCGACAGGUUAUUAUUCACAUACACAAAUCAGUCCCUCCUAAAGACACACUGAAGCCAAGGAAUAUUUCGUUGGAGUCACAAAAAACAGUACCUGCUGAUGUAUUAGAAGAACAGAUUGCUAUGUCAAGGAAAAAAAUCGCAGAAGAGUCGGCUAAAAUGUUAAAAUUAAAGGAAGAAGCGACUAAGUUAUCACAAAAAUACAAAAUUGUUGCCACAGAGCUGCGUAACAUCGCAACUGCCAUUACAUUAAAUAAAAAACAGCAGAAAUUUGUCCAAAAUGGUUUGAACAAAAUAAGAUUGCAGCAUCAGACACUACUUAGAAGUAACACAAUAACAAAACAUUCCCAAGGAAAUAUUCAUUUCACAUCUUUGAAUAAAAUUAAUAAAAAAAUAGUUCCUCCUAUGAAAUUGCAAAAAGAAAAUGAUCCUCACAAAGAAGAUCAUAAGAAUCAACAUGCGACUCGACUAGUAAAAAUAGCUACAGCUGAAGUUAAAGAUGACAUCCAUGUUCCAAGUCCUAGAAUAUCCAUCCAAGUUGAUGUGGCUAGUAAUAAAAAAAUUGUGAAGUUGCCAAAAAGUCCAGAUAAGGAAAGACAUAUUGAUUUAAAAAGAAGUCACGUAGAAACAGAACCAGUUAUAGUUGAACACAUACACACACAGAAUGAUAUAAGGAACGAAGUCAGUCAUCCAGUAGUGGAGAAAGGUGGAGGAUACCCAAAUUUUCCAUUAUGCGAUCAUUCUACCAAAAGGCGGAAAAGUCUCGACGACUAUAAAUCUCCACUUCAAUCUUUAGAGUCAUCGAGCUGGCGAGCGGAUCCCAACGCGAUCCUCUGCCCUUUCGAGGUCGGCGGCGAGUGCAAGGACACCGACUGCAAAUACCUUCACACAAACAUUAUCACACAAUGACGCUACACGCACUCACACUCGUACACAAACACACUGCAAUACACACGCAAGUAAUCGUACAUACAUACAUGAAGAUUCAUUCCCCUUCCCCUAUCCCCCUUACGACGGCUAAACGGAAACUGCAGUCACGUUUGGUGCUGGUCCCGAAGCAGCUAUUCAUCGGCGGCAGUGGUAAGUUGCGAGUAACUUUAUAAUAGUGCAUUUGUAGUGUGCUCCAAUAAAACUAUAAUAUUUUGAAACGUCGAGACUGCAAAUGGUUCAGUGUUGUGCGUUAUAUGGAAAAUAUUUUAUUAUGAUACAUGAACGUUGUAAAAAGUUAUAAAAAAUGUAAAAAGUUUCAAAUAAACCAUUGAAAUGUAA
RNAcentral lists this unclassified non-coding RNA (3376 nucleotides) under Manduca sexta (tobacco hornworm). Its description in RNAcentral is "putative leucine-rich repeat-containing protein DDB_G0290503, transcript variant X1". The record is from RNAcentral. Lineage: Eukaryota; Metazoa; Arthropoda; Insecta; Lepidoptera; Sphingidae.